This 28-nucleotide small RNA is filed under the name Bombyx mori (domestic silkworm). RNAcentral describes it as "ovarian small RNA-9401". Lineage: Eukaryota; Metazoa; Arthropoda; Insecta; Lepidoptera; Bombycidae. The record is from RNAcentral.
UUAGACAAGGUUGGUUAAAUAAAAUGAA